GGGUCGUUAGCUCAGAGGUAGAGCAGCGGACUUUUAAUCCGUUGGCCGUGAGUUCAAUCCUCACACGACCCACCA
Molecule: transfer RNA, 75 nt
Filed under: Smithella sp. PtaU1.Bin162
Lineage: Bacteria; Pseudomonadati; Thermodesulfobacteriota; Syntrophia; Syntrophales; Smithellaceae
Description: tRNA-Lys
Rfam family: tRNA
About the family: Transfer RNA (tRNA) molecules are approximately 80 nucleotides in length. Their secondary structure includes four short double-helical elements and three loops (D, anti-codon, and T loops).
Source: RNAcentral